RNAcentral lists this ribosomal RNA (253 nucleotides) under uncultured bacterium. RNAcentral's name for it is "partial 16S ribosomal RNA". It matches the Rfam family "Bacterial small subunit ribosomal RNA", at positions 524 to 776 of the family's 1533-position model. The record is from RNAcentral.
UACGUAGGGACCAAGCGUUGUUCGGAUUUACUGGGCGUAAAGGGCGCGUAGGCGGCGCAAUAAGUCAUUUGUGAAAUCUCAGAGCUCAACUCUGAAACUGCACUCGAUACUGCUUUGCUCGAGGACUGGAGAGGAGAUUGGAAUUCACGGUGUAGCAGUGAAAUGCGUAGAUAUCGUGAGGAAGACCAGUGGCGAAGGCGGAUCUCUGGACAGUUCCUGACGCUGAGGCGCGAAGGCCAGGGGAGCAAACGGG